This 75-nucleotide transfer RNA is filed under the name Aeromonas hydrophila. RNAcentral describes it as "tRNA-His". It matches the Rfam family "tRNA". Rfam says of the family: Transfer RNA (tRNA) molecules are approximately 80 nucleotides in length. Their secondary structure includes four short double-helical elements and three loops (D, anti-codon, and T loops). The record is from RNAcentral. Lineage: Bacteria; Pseudomonadati; Pseudomonadota; Gammaproteobacteria; Aeromonadales; Aeromonadaceae.
GUGGCUGUGGCUCAGUUGGUAGAGUCCGGAUUGUGAUUCCGGUUGUCGUGGGUUCGAGCCCCAUCAGCCACCCCA